CCCUUAGAUGUUCUGGGCUGCACGCGCGCUACACUGAUGCACUCAACGAGUUUACGACCUUGCCCGAUAGGGUUGGGUAAUCUUUUUAAAAUGCAUCGUGACGGGGAUAGAUUAUUGCAAUUAUUAAUCUUCAACGAGGAAUUCCUAGUAAGCGCGAGUCAUCAGCUCGUGCUGAUUACGUCCCUGCCCUUUGUACACACCGCCCGUCGCUCCUACCGAUUGAGUGCUCAGGUGAAUAAUUCGGACUGCAGCAAUGUUUGGAUCCCGAACGUUGCAGCGGAAAGUUUAGUGAACCUUAUCACUUAGAGGAAGGAGAANUCGUANCA
Molecule: ribosomal RNA, 326 nt
Filed under: uncultured eukaryote
Lineage: Eukaryota
Description: partial 18S ribosomal RNA
Rfam family: Eukaryotic small subunit ribosomal RNA
Source: RNAcentral